CCUACGGGUGGCAGCAGUGGGGAAUAUUGGGCAAUGGGCGCAAGCCUGACCCAGCAACGCCGCGUGAAGGAAGAAGGCUUUCGGGUUGUAAACUUCUUUUGUCAGGGAAGAGGAGAAGACGGGACAUGACGAAUAAGCCACGGCUAACGACGGGCCAGCAGCCGCGGUAAUACGUCGGGGGCAAGCGGUGUCCGGAGUUACUGGGUGUAAAGGGCGUGUAGCCGGGUUGACAAGUCAGAGGUGAAAUCCUGCGGCUUAACCGCAGAACUGCAUUUGAAACUGUUGAUCUUGAGUACUGGAGAGGCAGCUGGCCUUCCUCGUGUAGCGGUGCACUGCGUCGAUAUUAGGCGGAACUCCAGUGGCGAAGGCGGUCUGCUGGACCGCACCUGACGGUGAGGCGCGAAAGCGUGGGGAGCAAACCGGAUUAGCUACCCGGGUAGUC
Molecule: ribosomal RNA, 442 nt
Filed under: uncultured bacterium
Lineage: Bacteria
Description: partial 16S ribosomal RNA
Rfam family: Bacterial small subunit ribosomal RNA
Source: RNAcentral